RNAcentral lists this ribosomal RNA (331 nucleotides) under Citrobacter freundii. RNAcentral's name for it is "bacterial SSU rRNA". It matches the Rfam family "Bacterial small subunit ribosomal RNA", at positions 1160 to 1490 of the family's 1533-position model. Lineage: Bacteria; Pseudomonadati; Pseudomonadota; Gammaproteobacteria; Enterobacterales; Enterobacteriaceae. The record is from RNAcentral.
UAACUGGAGGAAGGUGGGGAUGACGUCAAGUCAUCAUGGCCCUUACGAGUAGGGCUACACACGUGCUACAAUGGCAUAUACAAAGAGAAGCGACCUCGCGAGAGCAAGCGGACCUCAUAAAGUAUGUCGUAGUCCGGAUUGGAGUCUGCAACUCGACUCCAUGAAGUCGGAAUCGCUAGUAAUCGUGGAUCAGAAUGCCACGGUGAAUACGUUCCCGGGCCUUGUACACACCGCCCGUCACACCAUGGGAGUGGGUUGCAAAAGAAGUAGGUAGCUUAACCUUCGGGAGGGCGCUUACCACUUUGUGAUUCAUGACUGGGGUGAAGUCGUA